Molecule: long non-coding RNA, 990 nt
Organism: Peromyscus leucopus (white-footed mouse)
Lineage: Eukaryota; Metazoa; Chordata; Mammalia; Rodentia; Cricetidae
Exons: 3
Source: RefSeq, a predicted model, not a curated record
UCACAACUCCUGGUCUGGAAAUUGGCAAGACCAAGACAGUGGUCUAACUCUCAGAAGGUGGGAGGAACCUCACACUCUAACAAGUUCAAGGAGUUGCCACACAGUUGUAUGGAUGGGGUCAUUGCCAACAAGCAAGUCUCUUCUCCUGGAGAAUUUGCCCUAAGAACAGCCUAUAUUAAAAUUUUCAACAACCAAUAACCUGAUUCAGUUUGAAAUUGGAAUUUACUGUGCAUCACCGACCUGGCACUCUUAUUUAUACAAUAAGAAAACUAUGUUGUCUCAGAGUAAGGACAUACACAAAUGAAGAAGAAUCAAGAGACCCUCAGUGACAUGCAUUUUGGGUAAUUUUACAAAUAUAUUUUUAUUCCUUAGCAUCAUGUCAAGUGGUAUUUUAUUGAUCAAAUUAUAUUUGAAUUGUCCCCCCCAAAAAAAUGUCAGUUUAAGAUGGGUAAAAAACUAAAAGUUGAGAACAUUAUUAGAUGAAUCGGGGUGAUAUUUGUCCUAUCAAAAGAAUUGUCCAACAAAAUUUCUGCCAAAUUCUGGACAAUGGGUUUGCUCUUGUGUGCUCUUCGGUGAUUCCUGGAUAGCAGGUGUGAGUGCAGGAUGCCAAGAAGAAAAGGCUCAUCUGUAAGAGCACGGAAGGCAGGGGGCCUCUCAAAGGGCAAGGACACCGUCUUCCUCCUGAGGCGCGAUCGCUUUGCACAUAGGCUCUCCAAAUACCAAGCGCGAAGAGCCUGGCUUUUAAUUACAAAGUAAAAUAUCACUCGAGAAUUGCAUAAUUGGUGUUUGCCUUUUGCAAUGCAGUGAACAUAAGGGAACCUGACAUUAAAUGUCUGAUGUGUUGCCAUGGCAUCUUCUGGGAUUUUGCUUUGUGCUGCUUCAAGCUGCCAGCUAUGUUACAUUUGAAUUCCUUGAGAGUAUGUGGGGUGAGGGCAGGAAAGGAACCAGAAUGCUACAGGGUUAAAGAUUCUAAUUCUAGGGUAACGGAGG